GUCCAGUUCAAUCUCCUCCUAUCAAGCACAGUAUAAGAGCUUUGUCUAUCAGGAAGAGUCAAAACAAAAGAGAUAGGUACAACCUAGACAAGCAAGUACUCUUCGGGGGUCCUGGCUUUGUUGCAGGUAUCUCUGCUCUGACAUUCCAUUCAUUACGUAUGGUAUUGGGCUUCAUCCUCUGCCACAGGGCCACAUCCUCUUAAUGCCCACGUUCAAGAUACUGAUACAGUUAUAGUCUCUGAAGUGAUCUCAGUUCCCUGAUGCUCACCUUCCAACUUCCUCUUCAUCUGUCUCACUGUGGAAACUAGUAACUGGGGCUGCCAAGAAAAUUGUGGGUAAGAAAAUACAGAGCUCAAAUAAGCCUGAGUAAACCAAUGAAUGCAAUGUCAUAAGUGAGUGUACAGGGAAGAAAAGGAGCUUUCGAGUCAAUAAUAGGUUAAAAUUUUCUCUUCUACUCAUAGGCAAUUUAUACAAGCCACAUAUACCACACCACAAACAACAUACACUAUGCACACAUACCACAC
Molecule: long non-coding RNA, 524 nt
Filed under: Fukomys damarensis (Damara mole-rat)
Lineage: Eukaryota; Metazoa; Chordata; Mammalia; Rodentia; Bathyergidae
Description: lncRNA (ENSFDAG00000024572.1)
Source: RNAcentral